UGCCGUUUCCAUGCGAACGGUAAACAGAGCUGUUUUCUCCUCCGUCACUCCUGUCAUACCCAUGAUAUGAUUCUACCCGCUGAGCCCUGGAUGCCAGAGGGUGAGGAGCUGGUGCUGGUGUUCACAGUAAAGAAGUAACUCAAAGAAGCAGUUAAACUUGGGAGCUUAUAUACCCUUCUUUACAAAGAAAAGAGGGUUUGGGCUUCAAGGGAGUUUGUGGGGAAGUAACUGGGAAACAUAUGGAGAACUAAUGGAAGGUUGACAUAUGGUGUCAGAAAGUGGGAACUGAAUCGAUCUCACCUUCAUGGACUGGCAUCCUCUGGAAAUGGCUACAAUACCUGCACGAGUCCCUUGUGUUCACCACUUCUAUGGACCGCUAGUUCCUCCAAUAAUUUAAAGAAAUCUUUUCUCUUAAGCUGUCACAACGUGGUAGGAUAUAUCUUUGUGAACAAAGAUGAAACAUUUACUUUUUCUCCCUACCUCAUCCCUCCAGAAUUCAGAAACUGUCAGUAAAAGAAGCUUUCCUGGAUUCCAAUUUAAAGCAUCCUAUUGGUCAGUCUAGAGCCUGGUGACUAGGUAUUCUGGAAGCAUCAUCAGAGGAAGACAGCCCUCAAGCCUUGUUGAAAAGGACCUUACCAAGUGCUCCUGACCACUGAUACUACUGCAGAACUAGAAGGCAUUGAACCUUGGAGAUACAUCUCACAGCUAAAGAAGGCUACACCCAACAUUUGGUCCUGUGUGAAUGCUGGAGACCUCCAAAUCAAACUGACCAGAAAGAGAAGCAGCCAACAUCUGAAACAGAUAGCUUUUCCAAGAUGGCUGCACCAAGCGUGUACACCUUUUACUCACUGUUGCACCUUACCUUAUUUUCUGUCUGUCUGUCUUGGAAAGACAAUCCUCUUAUCCACAUCUCCCAAUCUAUUGCCAAAAGGGUAAAUCUUUCUGACUGUUGGGUUUGUCAUCAGAAGCCUCAUUCUGUACAUGAACCUAGAGAAUCUUUUAGCACAUUUAAUUACCAAUCUCUCCACCAUUCCUCUCCUAAGUCCUUAUGCUGUCUAGAACUCCUUGCCUAACCAACUGAACCUCCAGAGAUUGAACUGGUAACAUUGUAACUAUUGUAAAUGCCUCUUGUUGAACUUGGGUAAACACCUCCAGCAAGGUAAAGACAGAACUAGACAGAAUUUGAGCACAAGCUGAAAGAUUCGAUGCAGUGCCCACUGACAUCCCGUAGUUCUUUGAUCUGUUUAGCUGGCUACCCUCAAGAACUGUCUCUUGGUUCAGGUCUAUUCUGCAAUUUGGACUUAGCAUUUUGUUUAUUAUUAUAGAAAUUCUCACUUUUGUAAAACAUCUCUUCUGCAUGGCUUGAUGUUAUAAAAACACCACUUGGAUAAUGGUCGCUCAGUGUUUUGAAAUGAUUGCUAAAGCUUACAAGCCUUCACCUGAGAAACUUCAAGGAACUAAAGACAAUGUCUGCCCUUGAAAGAACUUGAUGGUAAGGCUUUUCUCUGCUCUGGCACUCCUGUUGCUCAAAUGUGGCCUAGGAUCUUAAGGAAAACACUUUCCCUCCUACAUGGGACAUGAAAUACUAGGAAUGAGCCUUUCUGGUUAUGAGAGACCAACAGUGCUUUGAUGACUGAUCAGCAAUACUUUCCACGAAAGAUCUUGAUCAAAAGGGGAAAAAUGUCAAAAUUGACUUUAGUGGAGCCAUUUUAAAAUGGAGUUGGAGCUGCCUCUCCAGAGAAACUGCCCUGCCGUUUUGAACCUUGGACUGGGCCAAACCUUUGGACUGGGCCAAAAUGGCCACUGUUUUACAAGCAAUUGUUUGAGGAGUCAGUAGGAGAAUGGACAUCCUGAUCACAAAGGCUGAGGAUUGCAGACUUUCUGAAGAUAGAAUCAAUACUCAAUCAAUGCUUAGCCAAGACUAACUUCUGCCUCCAACUCCAGUUAAAAUUCUUUGUAACAUAAACCUCCCUUCUUUGCCUUUAAAAGCCCCUGACUUUUACUUCCUAGCUGGAUGCUAUCUGUGCUCCCCAAAAUGAAAUUCUUUGAUCCCAAAUAAAUGCU
This is a long non-coding RNA of Equus quagga, 2064 nucleotides long. RefSeq lists it as uncharacterized. NCBI's taxonomy places the organism in Eukaryota, Metazoa, Chordata, Mammalia, Perissodactyla, Equidae. The transcript has 5 exons. The record is from RefSeq and is a predicted model, not a curated record.